Carlito syrichta (Philippine tarsier) is the source of this 2224-nucleotide long non-coding RNA. RefSeq lists it as uncharacterized. NCBI's taxonomy places the organism in Eukaryota, Metazoa, Chordata, Mammalia, Primates, Tarsiidae. The record is from RefSeq and is a predicted model, not a curated record. The transcript is spliced from 6 exons.
AGCUUUCUAAAAUCUCUUUAGGGGUGUGCGUAGGCUCGUGUGUCUAUGCCUGCUCUUGACUGCCCAGUUGAAGCCUCUUCCUAUGCCUUUUAAAAUUUCAUACACUAUAAGGAAGAAGAGCUCAGGGCUCCUCAAACUUUUUUGGGGGAGGAAGAAAGCUGGGGAGGUAGGUGCGCAGAGGGUUGUCCAAAUUGGAAGAAAAUACUUGUCCUUUAGUUUGAUGUUAGAAAAGGGAAUUUUCCAAUCAGCCACACCUCAGUGUUGCGGCAAAAUAAUUCUUGGCUUCCCUGGAAACACACGGGCAAGGUAGGGCAGAACUGCUGCCGAUAUUGCCACCACCCUGGGCUUCCUGCUGACUCUGGGCUACUCCCUGGGGACAAGAGAUUUGCAUUGACGUCGGGGCUGUCCUGAGGCCCUCAGGAGGCCUGUCGAGAGCUGAGCCCUGUAUGGGAAAGUCCUACCUUCUGGAAGCUGCUGCUGGCUACCUGGUACUUGGAAAGAUGACUCAGUGUAUCGGGAGCCGGGAGAUGGAGCUCUCAGCUGAGUGGCCAGGAUGUUCUGUCAACAUGAAAGCAGCAAUAACAGCUUGGGGCUCUGAGCCGAUCCUCAGCCCGGGGUCAUUUUCAGGGAGGGCUGGGGCAGAGAAGACCACUGCUGGGCAUCAGGAUGGGGGCGACACCGGAGCACUCAGGAGAGUGAAGCUUGCUCCGUGAGUGGGUGACAACCUCUUGGCAAUUCAGGCUUAGCUGAGGAUGGUGCCAGUGUGUUGAAGACAGCCGUCACACUGCUGGAUAGAGUGGCUCACUUGCAUUUAUUUGGAACAAAAAAAGGAGAUGCCUGGCAGUCCUGCUCUCUGCAGUGCUGUGGAGCCGCCAGUUUGUGUGGUUUCAUGGGACCACAAAUGCUGAUUGAUGUGACACGAUUCCAGUUUUGUCAGUGAGUCAUCACCAGGCUGCUUACUGGGAACCAGAUGCAGCAAGGAAAGUAGGAUUUAACCCCUUCCCUGCCCCCCAGGAACCCUGAAACCAGCAUUCCCAGAGGUGAGAAGAUGAACCAUCUGGGCUCAGCUUCCGGCACCCUCCCCCAUCUGGCUGGAACUUGCAUCAGUCACCCUUGUGUUAGUAACCACCUCUGUGCCUUUCUAAUGGAGCAUUCUGUCAUGUCACAAGUAGUAGACAUUUUUCCUCAGGACAGAGGCGGGGUCUUCCCAUCACAUCUUUCUUCAGUGAGAUCCUCUUCUUCUGGAAGCUGGUUUCACAUGGUGGCUUAGAUUUUUCCAUCUUUGUAUCUAGCACCAUUUGAAAUCAGUGUUUUAGGAGUAAGAAUUGCAGCGCAGCAAAGGGCGGACUGCAGAGACACUGUUGCUCAUGGACUGACUCCUCUUCUCUUGCUGCUUGAGCCUGUUCAAGAGGGCGAGAGAAGAACUUGAAGAGCAAAAUACACUCUUGAGUAUGUUGGGCUUUUGGAGGGGUAACAGGGUGGGGAGGGCCUUGUGUUUAAAAUGAACACAGUGACUUGAGCAGGGGCAGAGGGUGAGAUGCUCUUUCUGUUGAUUGCUUGCAACCGUCACCAGUGUGAACAUGUUGUGUUGUUCCGUUGGGUAAUGAUGUAUUGGGUAUUGAUUGUAACGGGGCAGGGGAGAGGGCUUUACACCUGGAGGACCGUUUCAACCACAUCGACACUGUCCGCCUACUCCUAGAGAUGCCCUGGAGUAUUCGGCGUCGGUUGCAGGGCAGCUGAACUCAGACUUGCCACCUGCACUGUCGAGGUGCGGACCCUAGGAGCACCACUGGCCCAUCUCUUACACAGGCUGACCGAUUUCUCCUGGUGUUCAGAGUCUGUUUUUGUCUAGCACCAUUUGAAAUCGGUUAUGAUGUAGGGGGAAAAGCAGCAGCCUCGAAGCCUCAUGCCAAGUCUGGGCAGCAACAGCCUGUGGUUUCCUGGAAGAUGGAUGGGCAGAGAGUGGGGAAGGAAGAUCACACUUUUCCCUACUAACUUCUUUAACUGCAUUUAUGAUACAUUAUUGCAGAGGUAAGAGAUAAUUUAAUGGAUUUUUAAAAAAACAGAUUACUCGAAUUUAUCUGAUGUCCUCAGUUGCAUUUUGCUGAAAUGUAGUACUGCUGUAAAUUCUAUAAAUUGGUUGCUGUUGAAUUAUCUUUCUGUUGAGAAGAGUCUAUUCAUGCAUCCUGACCUUAAUAAAUACUUUACUGUAUUCAAUUUAUCA